This 509-nucleotide ribosomal RNA is filed under the name uncultured bacterium. RNAcentral describes it as "bacterial SSU rRNA". It matches the Rfam family "Bacterial small subunit ribosomal RNA", at positions 32 to 507 of the family's 1533-position model. The record is from RNAcentral.
AACGCUGGCGGCGUGCUUAACACAUGCAAGUCGAACGAGAGGACAAGAGAAGCUUGCUUCUUUUGGAAUCGAGUGGCAAACGGGUGAGUAACACGUAAACAACCUGCCUUCAGGAUGGGGACAACAGACGGAAACGACUGCUAAUACCGAAUACGCUUGGAAGACCGCAUGAUUUUCCAAGGAAAGGGUGGCCUCUACCUGUAAGCUAUCGCCUGAAGAGGGGUUUGCGUCUGAUUAGGCAGUUGGUGAGGUAACGGCCCACCAAACCUACGAUCAGUAGCCGGUCUGAGAGGAUGAACGGCCACACUGGAACUGAGACACGGUCCAGACUCCUACGGGAGGCAGCAGUGGGGAAUCUUCCGCAAUGGGCGAAAGCCUGACGGAGCAACGCCGCGUGAGUGAUGACGGCCUUCGGGUUGUAAAGCUCUGUGAUCGGGGACGAACGGUCCGUAAGCUAAUACCUUAUGGAAGUGACGGUACCCGAAUAGCAAGCCACGGCUAACUACGUG